CUACGGGUGGCUGCAGUGGGGAAUAUUGCACAAUGGGCGAAAGCCUGAUGCAGCAACGCCGCGUGAGGGACGACGGCCUUCGGGUUGUAAACCUCUUUUAGCAGGGAAGAAGCGAAAGUGACGGUACCUGCAGAAAAAGCACCGGCUAACUACGUGCCAGCAGCCGCGGUAAUACGUAGGGUGCAAGCGUUGUCCGGAAUUAUUGGGCGUAGAGAGCUCGUAGGCGGGUUGUCGCGUCUGCUGUGAAAAUCCGAGGCUCAACCUCGGACCUGCAGUGGGUACGGGCAAACUAGAGGGCGGUAGGGGAGAUUGGAAUUCCUGGUGUAGCGGUGGAAUGCGCAGAUAUCAGGAGGAACACCAAUGGCGAAGGCAGAUCUCUGGGCCGUAACUGACGCUGAGGAGCGAAAGCGUGGGGAGCGAACAGGAUUAGAUACCCCGGUAGUC
Molecule: ribosomal RNA, 444 nt
Filed under: uncultured bacterium
Lineage: Bacteria
Description: partial 16S ribosomal RNA
Rfam family: Bacterial small subunit ribosomal RNA
Source: RNAcentral